UACGAAGGGGGCUAGCGUUGCUCGGAAUCACUGGGCGUAAAGGGUGCGUAGGCGGGCUGCCAAGUCAGGGGUGAAAUCGUUCGGCCCAACCGGACAAGGGCCCCUGAUACUGGUGGCCUCGAGGGAGGUAGGGGUCGAUGGAACUUCCGGUGGAGCGGUGAAAUGCGUAGAUAUCGGAAGGAACGCCGGUGGCGAAAGCGAUCGACUGGACCUCUUCUGACGCUGAGGCACGAAAGCCAGGGGAGCAAACGGG
Molecule: ribosomal RNA, 253 nt
Filed under: uncultured bacterium
Lineage: Bacteria
Description: partial 16S ribosomal RNA
Rfam family: Bacterial small subunit ribosomal RNA
Source: RNAcentral